GAAAUGCGAUAAGUAGUGUGAAUUGCAGAAUUCAGUGAAUCAUCGAAUCUUUGAACGCACAUUGCGCCCUUCGGUAUUCCGUUGGGCAUGCCUGUUCGAGCGUCAUUUUAACCUUCAAGCAUAGCUUGGUGUUGGGUGCUUGUCCCCCCUAGUGGUGGACUCACCUCAAAUGCAUUGGCGGCCGGUAUGUUGGCUUCGAGCGCAGUACAACGCGCCUGGUGUCUAGACGUGCUGGUCCUCCACAAGACCUUUAAUCUUGACCUCGGAUCAGGUAGGGAUACCCGCUGAACUUAA
This 294-nucleotide unclassified non-coding RNA is filed under the name uncultured Dothideomycetes. RNAcentral's name for it is "sequence contains ITS1". The stretch from base 1 to 105 matches the Rfam family "5.8S ribosomal RNA", at positions 50 to 154 of the family's 154-position model. Lineage: Eukaryota; Fungi; Ascomycota; Dothideomycetes. The record is from RNAcentral.